This 70-nucleotide transfer RNA is filed under the name Dipodomys ordii (Ord's kangaroo rat). It matches the Rfam family "tRNA". From Rfam's summary of the family: Transfer RNA (tRNA) molecules are approximately 80 nucleotides in length. Lineage: Eukaryota; Metazoa; Chordata; Mammalia; Rodentia; Heteromyidae. The record is from Rfam by way of RNAcentral.
GGGAAUGUGGCUUAGUGGUAAAGUGCUUGCCUAGCAUGCAUGAAGCCCUGGGUUUGAUUCCCCAGUACCA